UACGUAGGGGGCAAGCGUUGUCCGGAUUUAUUGGGCGUAAAGAGCGUGUAGGCGGCCAGAUAGGUCUGUUGUGAAAACUCGAGGCUCAACCUCGAGACGCCGAUGGAAACCAUUUGGCUAGAGUCCGGAAGAGGAGAGUGGAACUCCUGGUGUAGCGGUGAAAUGCGCAGAUAUCAGGAAGAACACCCGUGGCUAAGGCGGCUCUCUAGUACGGUACUGACGCUGAGACGCGAAAGCGUGGGGAGCGAACAGG
Molecule: ribosomal RNA, 253 nt
Filed under: uncultured bacterium
Lineage: Bacteria
Description: partial 16S ribosomal RNA
Rfam family: Bacterial small subunit ribosomal RNA
Source: RNAcentral